This 467-nucleotide ribosomal RNA is filed under the name uncultured Candidatus Rhabdochlamydia sp. RNAcentral describes it as "bacterial SSU rRNA". It matches the Rfam family "Bacterial small subunit ribosomal RNA", at positions 338 to 795 of the family's 1533-position model. Lineage: Bacteria; Pseudomonadati; Chlamydiota; Chlamydiia; Parachlamydiales; Candidatus Rhabdochlamydiaceae. The record is from RNAcentral.
CCUACGGGUGGCUGCAGUCGAGGAUCUUUCGCAAUGGGCGCAAGCCUGACGAAGCGACGCUGUGUGAAUGAUGAAGGCCUUCGGGUUGUAAAGUUCUUUCGCGCAGGAACAAGAGAGGAUAGUGAAUAACUGUCCGAUUUGAGGGUAUUGCGUAAAGAAGCACCGGCUAACUCCGUGCCAGCAGCUGCGGUAAUACGGAGGGUGCAAGCAUUAAUCGGAUUUAUUGGGCGUAAAGGGCGCGUAGGCGGACUUGCAAGUCAGAUGUGAAAUUCCGGGGCUCAACCCCGGAGCUGCAUUUGAAACUGCAAGUCUAUAGAGGUAUGACGGAGAAAUUGGAAUUCCACGUGUAGCGGUGAAAUGCGUAGAUAUGUGGAAGAACACCGGUGGCGAAAGCGGAUUUCUAGUUAUAACCUGACGCUGAGGCGCGAGAGCAAGGGGAGCAAACAGGAUUAGAUACCCCAGUAGUC